RNAcentral lists this ribosomal RNA (465 nucleotides) under Vreelandella stevensii. Its description in RNAcentral is "partial 16S ribosomal RNA". It matches the Rfam family "Bacterial small subunit ribosomal RNA", at positions 338 to 795 of the family's 1533-position model. Lineage: Bacteria; Pseudomonadati; Pseudomonadota; Gammaproteobacteria; Oceanospirillales; Halomonadaceae. The record is from RNAcentral.
CCUACGGGAGGCAGCAGUGGGGAAUAUUGGACAAUGGGGGCAACCCUGAUCCAGCCAGGCCGCGUGUGUGAAGAAGGCCCUCGGGUUGUAAAGCACUUUCAGUGAGGAAGAACGCCUGGUGGUUAAUACCCAUCAGGAAAGACAUCACUCACAGAAGAAGCACCGGCUAACUCCGUGCCAGCAGCCGCGGUAAUACGGAGGGUGCGAGCGUUAAUCGGAAUUACUGGGCGUAAAGCGCGCGUAGGUGGCUUGAUAAGCCGGUUGUGAAAGCCCCGGGCUCAACCUGGGAACGGCAUCCGGAACUGUCAAGCUAGAGUGCAGGAGAGGAAGGUAGAAUUCCCGGUGUAGCGGUGAAAUGCGUAGAGAUCGGGAGGAAUACCAGUGGCGAAGGCGGCCUUCUGGACUGACACUGACACUGAGGUGCGAAAGCGUGGGUAGCAAACAGGAUUAGAUACCCGUGUAGUC